This 603-nucleotide ribosomal RNA is filed under the name Lipomyces kononenkoae. RNAcentral's name for it is "LSU rRNA". It matches the Rfam family "Eukaryotic large subunit ribosomal RNA", at positions 34 to 655 of the family's 3401-position model. The record is from RNAcentral. Lineage: Eukaryota; Fungi; Ascomycota; Lipomycetes; Lipomycetales; Lipomycetaceae.
UUAAGCAUAUCAAUAAGCGGAGGAAAAGAAACCAACAGGGAUUGCCUUAGUAACUGCGAGUGAAGCGGCAAGAGCUCAAAUUUGAAAUCUGGCACCUUCGGUGUCCGAGUUGUAAUUUGUAGAAGCAUCUUUUGGAUUGGUCCUUGCAUAUGUUCCUUGGAACAGGACAUCAUAGAGGGUGAGAAUCCCGUUCAUGGUGGGGAAUCCAAUUCUUUGUAAAGUGCUUUCGAAGAGUCGAGUUGUUUGGGAAUGCAGCUCUAAGUGGGUGGUAAAUUCCAUCUAAAGCUAAAUAUUGGCGAGAGACCGAUAGCGAACAAGUACAGUGAUGGAAAGAUGAAAAGAACUCCGAAAGGAGAGUGAAAAAGGACGUGAAAUUGUUGAAAGGGAAGUGCUUGAGAUCAGUCUUAAGGUUUAGUGAUCAGUCUUCCUUUUGGUUGGUGCACUCACUAUUUCUUAGGCCAACAUCAGUUUUGGCGGCAGGAUAAUGACAUUGGAAUGUGGCUCUUUCGGGAGUGUUAUAGCCUUUGUUGAUACUGCCUGCUUGGACUGAGGACCGCGCUUUUUGCUAGGAUGUUGGCAUAAUGAUCUUAAGCAGCCCGUCUG